UCACCCUGAGACUACACUGGGAGCCGGGAGACCCAGGGCAUGUGUCAUUCCAUCUGAGGAACUGGGUCAUAUCAUGAGCUCUGAUUAGUUCUAAGAAAAUUCAACCCAGCAAGGGCGCUUUGAGCUCUGUUGGUCCCAUGAGGGCGGGAAGAGAGUGUAGGGCCCUGUGAGAUCUUCCCUGUCUGAGACACCUGUGCCCUGGGAAAAUGCAGGCAGCUACGGCGCAGAAUUUCCACACCCUUUCAGUUUAAAGUCUGACCUUAGUGAGUGCUUCAUGCAUUUUAGGGGUUUUCUGCACUCUUCGUGGAGGGGUUUCAGAGUCUGCAGAUGACAUUAGCGGAGCCUUCCACUCCGUGACUCGGGCCAUGUUAGCAAAUUCCUGGCAACUCUGAAAAUUCUCAGUGGUUGGUUUGUGUUUUGACAACAUUGUUUCAGCCGACUGGUCUGGUUUUUAACUGUUGUGCCCCUGUGAGAGUCAGGGCAGCGAAUGAGAACAGGGUCCCGCCAGAGCUGAGUGCCUCUGGGUAUGGGUGAAUGACUCACAAAUCGACACGCUCACCAAUCUAACAUCUAUCAUAAAUUUGACCAGAAAGAAAGUAAAUGUUAAAAACUUCUGGAAGUACAGUUUGACCCUUGAACAAAUGGGUUUGAACUGCAUGGGUCCACUUAUACAUUAUUUUUUUUUUCCCAUAACCCCAGGACAGUACUAUAGAUUUCUUCUCUCUAGCAUACUUAAUUGUAGGAAUGUAGCAUGUAAUAUACACGACGUACAAAAUGUGUGUUAGUUGUGUGUUAUUGAUUAUAACAGUAGGCUGUUAGUGGUUAAGUCUGGCUGGGGGGUAGUCAGAAGUUUUAUGUGGAGUGUUGGCCUUGUAGGGGUCAACAUCUCUAACUCCCACAUUGUUCGAGGGUCAGCUGUAUAUAGAUUGAAAGAACAUCGAGUUAUCUAUUUCAUUGGUGUUUUGGUGUGCUUGAGAAUCAGAGCGAGGGGCGUAUUUUGUGCUGCUAGCAGGAAUGAGGAAUUGAGAAAUCAGGACCAAGUGUUCUUUCUACCCAGUAAUAAAGGGCCUGACUUAGCAAAACAAUGGAGAUCCUGCUUUUGUGCCACCAAGAGUUUUCGUGAUUUGGGUGGGACCUGAAGGAUGCAGAGGGGGAUAUUUCAUGAAACUAAAAAGAACUUUGCUGAAUUAAGAUUUUUUUUGCUCUUGUGUUGGUCACUUGGAUGAGCAGAGUUAGAUCCUGUAUUGUAUGGUUAAACAACUCAGUCUUCCCUGGGCACUCUUGACACAUUAAAGCAAUUUUUUUUUUUUUUUUAAAAGAUAAAAUCUUCAAUGUUCACUUCAGAUUUUCUCAUUUGACACUCUCCUGCACUUUGGGGCUUCAGUUUAACUUUCUAAACAGCUUAAAAGUUAAAUAAGAAGUGAGGUGGGGCACCUGGGUGGAUCAGUGGUUAAGUCUCUGCCUUCGGCUCAGGUCAUGAUCCUAGCGUCGUGGGAUCAAGCCCCACAUCGGGCUCCCUGCUCAGCAGGAAGCCUGCUUCUCCGUCUUCCACUCCCCCUGCUUGUAUUUCUUCUCUCUUUGUCUCUCUGUGUCAAAUAAAUAAAUAGAAUCUUAAAAUAAUAAUAAUAAUAAUAAAGUGAGGCAACAACUCAAAACCAUAGAGAGAUGGGUGGUGUGUGAUGAACUCCUGAGUAGAACUGUCCAGGCAAUGAGGCAUUCACAAAUCGCAGAUAGCAGAAGACCUUGUUUAUGUCUGCUGGUGAAGUGCUGGCCAACUGCUGGUUUUCUGUUGUGAAAUUCUAGGCCCAUUCAUUCAUUCGUUCAUUCAGCAAAUACACAUUGAGCUACUAGGGUGGGUCCCGUGCUGUGCUACAUGGUAGAGAUACAGAAGGGAGCAAACAGGGGUGCCCGGGUGGCUCAGUUGGCUGAGCGUCUGACUCUUGAUCUUGUCAGGUUGAGGAACUGAGCCCUGAGCCAGGCUCUGUGCUCAGGAGUCAGCUAGAGGAUUUUCUCUCUCUACCCGUUCCCCACUGUGCACAUGCAUGUAUGUGUUCUCUCACUCUCUUAAAAAAAAAAAAAAAAAAAAAAGAGGUAAGCAAACAGGCAAGGGCCCUGCCCUCAUGGGGAGUAUAAUCUGGUUGGAGACAGCCAGACAGUGAAUACAUAAACUCAUUAGUAUUUAAUUACAGAUCAUGAUAGCCCUAGGAGAGAAAGCUUAAACCGAGAAGUAAGAAAGAAUAGGGGGAGAGGGGAGCAAUCAAUCUGGGGUGUUAGGAAAGGCUCCCCUGGGGAAGCAGUAUUUGACCUGAGAUCUGAAGAAUGGGGUUUACCCCAAGUGCUUGUUGAAGUAAGACUCCUGCUGGCCCACACUAAGUAGCAUCUUUUAUUUCCAUAAAUAAUUAGUUUGGAGGCUGGAAAUCAGAGCCAAAACACAAUUUAUGCGCGUUUUGCCUCCUGUAUAUCAGGAGAAAGUCAGCAUAUGCUUCCGUGCACGCACAAACACACAUGCGCUUUCUACUUACGCUUUCCCUCAGCCCACUUCGUAGAGGAAUUUUAGAAAAGAAUGUAGGAAAUUUAUCCCUGAUCCCUAGCAGGUCUACCUUUACUUUUUUCAGAAGCUCUUGGGGAGGCUUUCAGAAUAGUGAAACUUCUGAUCACCAGAAGCUUUGAAUGCUCUCUUCCUAAAUGUGACCGUGACUUUCUAAGAAGUCUACAGAGCUCAGGUGACCAUCCCUGAGCUCUCAUUAGCUGGAGUGUCUGCUAGUCCGAAUCAGACUUCAUGUGUGACAUCACAAGUUUGCUCUUUGCCUUGCUGAAUCCUGAUUCCUGGAGCUGCAUCGGGAAAGAGGAAACUUUUCAGCUCACGCUGAUAUCAUCGAUUAGAGAUGGGAUAAUAUGUGUCCUCAAGCAGGACCUGCGGAUUUAGACUGCCUGGGUUGGCGUCCUGGCUUUGCCACUGCCUACCUAUGUGGCCAUGGACAGCUCAUUUCUCUGCGUGAGUUUAAGUCUGGGACAUCGUUGCCUGACACCUGCCAGGUCAGAUAGGUUUUUGGAAUCUGGAAUAUUUCAGAUUUUAGAAAGAUAAUAUGUCACAGGUACUCUGCUUUGCUUAAUGCUACUAGCUGGGUCUGGGGCAAUAUCCUGUUAUCAGACACAUCACGAUUUCUUCAGCAAAGCCUGUGGAUACUCAGACAUACUGGAAUAAAGGAGGUCUGUAGAGUCUUGUUUGAGUCUGGAGAGUCUAUAUUGGGCUGCUGGAUGACUUCCCAAACAUAGCUCAUUUUCAGAGUUAUAGUAUCUCCCUUACAGGUGGCACGUAUGUCUUGGGGAAGAUUCAGUGGGAAGACAUACGUGAAGUGCUGAACCCAGCAGGCAUCCAGCAGGUGUGGACUGUGAUUACAAAGCCUACUUGUUUGUUAUUACGAAGCCAUCGUAGACGGAGUAGAAAUUCAACCUACAUAUCAGUUUCUUCUCUUCUCCCUCCCCGCCAGUGGGCCUUGACUGUGUGCAAGGUACAGUGCUAGGUGCUCCAAGAAGACAGAUGGUGAGCAGACAGGGCCCCUGCCUUGAACUUCAGUCAUGGCACCUACGGCCAUAUACAUAGCCUGCUCUUUGUCCUACUUUUUCCUAGGUAUUUUCCAUGCUGGGCUAUUUGAAUUCUGUUGGAAUCAAACCAUCCCCCAGAUACACUAUCCUGCUUGGUACAUUGUCAGACUGCAUUUUAAAAGGAAAGAGGACAGGAAAUCAUGACAUGUGACCCAUAUAACUGGAAAUGGUUCUCAGGCAGGAAAUUGGAGUGAAACUGUCACGAGAGGAAGUAUAGCUAUGUUGAAUGAGCUCUGAUGGCAGGACUGAGGGCAGGUGUUACUGAGCAACACUCCUGCUGAGCCUAUUCCACGAGCCAGGCACUGCGCUGGGGCCUGAGAUUAUAGAAAUGAAUGUGGCAGUCUCUGUGCAUCCUUUUAAGUGAGCUGUUAUUGGCUCACUUAAAACCGUUACUGGUUCACGGUUUCUGAGUGAGCCAGAAGAAACCAGCCAGCCCUCUGAGCUUAUGUACUUAACUUCAAAACAAAGGACGGAGGGGUACCUGGUUGGCUCAGUGGGUAGAGUGUACGACUCUUGAUCUUGGGGUUGCAAGUUCGAGCCCCACACUGGGUUUAGAGAUUACCUAAAACUAAAAUCUUAGAAAAAGAAAAAAAGAGAAAAAGACUGGAGUAGGUUAUAAGUUUUUUUAAAGCCCCAUUUUACCUUCAAAAUCUGUGGCCCUAAAGAAUGGCUGAACUGGCUUGCUGGUCAACCACGGUCUACCACUCUGGGAUUCAAGUUCAGGAUAGAGACUUUUGUUGCAAUAAGAGAGGCUUCAUGUUCAGGUACACCUUUAGGUACAGAAGGAUUUGUUGGCAGGGAUGACGUGUUGGAACGUGUUUUAUCCAGGUUAUUAUCUCGGCAAACAGGGAUAGUUCAUUUCUCAAAUAAUGAGUAUUGACUAGUUUUAGACCCUGUUUUAGGAGAGGAAAGCCCUUCCGUGGAGCUAGUAUUUCAUUAAAGCACAGAGACAAUAAAAAGUGAUAAAAAUGAAUACAUGAUAUAAUAUCAGAAAGUUGUAAGUAUAAAGAAAAAAAUAUAGAAAAAGGAGAGAGAGUGCGGGUUGAUGAUUGGAGGGCUGUUUUCAGAGUGGUCAGGGAAGACUUCUUGGAGGAGGUGAUACUAGAGCAGAUACCUGAAUUGGGUCAGAGAGAAAAGAAAGCGAGACAGGGAAGGCUGAGAAGGGAAAUUCCAGGCAGGGGUGACCACAAGUGUUAAGGCGGGGAGGUGAGAAAGAGUUGGCAAGUUGAAGGAACAGCCAGGAGGCUUGUGGUGUGCCUGUCCAGGGGGGGAAAGGAAAUGGGAGAGGGGCAGAAGGGAAGCAGACAGAGCCAUGCAGGCUCCUGGAGGGGAGCCCUGGGAAGGACCUUGGAUUUUAUUCCAAGUGUAAGGAGAAGCCAUUGGGAGGUUUUGAGAAGAGAAGUGACAUGAUGGGAUUUUUUUUUUUUUUUUUUUUUAAA
Long non-coding RNA from Mustela lutreola (European mink), 5045 nucleotides. RefSeq lists it as uncharacterized. The record is from RefSeq and is a predicted model, not a curated record. The transcript is spliced from 2 exons. Lineage: Eukaryota; Metazoa; Chordata; Mammalia; Carnivora; Mustelidae.